GAUGAACGCUGGCGGCGUGCCUAAUACAUGCAAGUCGAGCGAACAGACGAGGAGCUUGCUCCUCUGACGUUAGCGGCGGACGGGUGAGUAACACGUGGAUAACCUACCUAUAAGACUGGGAUAACUUCGGGAAACCGGAGCUAAUACCGGAUAUAUAUUGAACCGCAUGGUUCAAUAGUGAAAGACGGUUUUGCUGUCACUUAUAGAUGGAUCCGCGCCGCAUUAGCUAGUUGGUAAGGUAACGGCUUACCAAGGCAACGAUGCGUAGCCGACCUGAGAGGGUGAUCGGCCACAAUGGAACUGAGACACGGUCCAGACUCCUACGGGAGGCAGCAGUAGAGAAUCUUCCGCAAAGGGCGAAAGCUUGACGGAGCAACGCCGCGUGAGUGAUGAAGGUCUUCGGAUCGUAAAACUCUGUUAUUAGGGAAGAACAAAUGUGUAAGUAACUAUGCACGUCUUGACGGUACCUAAUCAGAAAGCCACGGCUAACUACGUG
RNAcentral lists this ribosomal RNA (496 nucleotides) under uncultured bacterium. RNAcentral's name for it is "partial 16S ribosomal RNA". It matches the Rfam family "Bacterial small subunit ribosomal RNA", at positions 28 to 507 of the family's 1533-position model. The record is from RNAcentral.